Molecule: ribosomal RNA, 99 nt
Filed under: Pediococcus pentosaceus
Lineage: Bacteria; Bacillati; Bacillota; Bacilli; Lactobacillales; Lactobacillaceae
Source: RNAcentral
AAGGAUAUACCUGUUCCCAUGUCGAACACAGAAGUCAAGCUUCUUAACGCCGAGAGUAGUUGGGGGAUCGCCCCCUGCAAGGGUAGGACGUUGCCAUGC